CGGUGUAGCUCAGUGGUAGAGCAGCUGUUUCGUAAACAGCAGGUCGCGGGUUCGAUUCCCAUCACCG
RNAcentral lists this transfer RNA (67 nucleotides) under marine eukaryotic metagenome. It matches the Rfam family "tRNA". From Rfam's summary of the family: Transfer RNA (tRNA) molecules are approximately 80 nucleotides in length. The record is from RNAcentral.